This 305-nucleotide ribosomal RNA is filed under the name uncultured bacterium. Its description in RNAcentral is "bacterial SSU rRNA". It matches the Rfam family "Bacterial small subunit ribosomal RNA", at positions 337 to 634 of the family's 1533-position model. The record is from RNAcentral.
GCCUACGGGGGGCAGCAGUGGGGAAUAUUGCGCAAUGGGCGAAAGCCUGACGCAGCGACGCCGCGUGAGGGAUGGAGGUCUUCGGAUCGUAAACCUCUGUCAGCAGGGAAGAACGGUCACUGUGCUAAUCAGCAGUGAAUUGACGGUACCUGCAAAGGAAGCACCGGCUAACUCCGUGCCAGCAGCCGCGGUAAUACGGAGGGUGCGAGCGUUAAUCGGAAUUACUGGGCGUAAAGCGCUCGUAGGCGGUAUGUCAAGUCAAGGGUGCAAUCCCCGCGCUCAACGUGGGACCUGCCUUUGAAACU